Molecule: non-coding RNA, 248 nt
Organism: Pelobates cultripes (western spadefoot toad)
Lineage: Eukaryota; Metazoa; Chordata; Amphibia; Anura; Pelobatidae
Source: the annotation of a GenBank genome assembly
UCUUGCAAGCUUUUAAUAAUCAUCUCUGUUUAAGUUCCCUUUCUUGGGCAUUUGUUCACGAUCAGGAUGUUGACCAGAAAAUAAAAAAUGCUGAUACCUUUUCCCCGAGGAAGGCAAUUGGGCUGAUCAGAAUCUUCGAGAAGGUCCUGGGAGUGGAACUUAGACCAAAUUGCAUAUCUUGAACCUUCUGUGGUAACCAGCGAUGGGGAUGUGAUAAGACGCAUCUUGAAGGUCUAUAGAUGUUAACC